CAGAAGCCCAUUGCUACUAAUUUAGUAGAACCCCCUGGCAAUAUAUACAACAUUCAAAUAUUUUACAGAGAGCUUUUUUGCAUGGUUCUCAAAAGAACAAUUUUGUGUUUGGGGAUAGGACCUCAGAAGAAGCAGUUUGUUCUAUCCUCAGGCCAGCCUUGCAGAGAUUUUUACAUUCUAUCCUGACAAAUUUGCUUGUCUGCCCCUUAUGCCCACUUCUUGUCCUUCCAGCACUGAGAUACGCAGAAGGUGCAUAAAGCUACCUUGCUUUGAGUAAACAAACUGCAAUGUUGGAAAGACCCAUGUGGCAAGAAACCUCUAUUCAACAGCCAAUGAGGAAAUGAGGCACGAAAUAUAAUCACACAAGGAACUCAAGGAACUGAAACUGGCCGGCAACCAUGUAUCUAGACAAGGAGAAGCUACACCUACACCCGACAAAAAGGAUAAAUCUUUAGUCUUCCAUCUAAGACUGAGCUAAAUGCAGAGAUCGGAUGGGAAUUUAAGUUGCCACCUAUGUAGGCAGUUUUUAAUAAAAAUGUGGAAAUUGGAGGUGGAGCGAUGUGGCUGAAUAGAAGCCUCCACUGAUUAUCCUCCCCAUAGGAAGAACACAUUUAACAACCGUCUACACAAAAAAGAAACUUCAUACGAACCAAAAAUCAGCUGAAGGAAAGUAAAGGAGCCUCUACUGACCAGGAACACAAGAUCGCUUUGCUGUGCAAAAGGAAUUUAUGUCCUGCUUCCAGUGUUUCCAGGUUCUGCUUUAAGAUCUCUUAGAAAAUGUUCUUGUCUACUACAGCAUCAUCACUGAAACAAGAGGAUAAGGCCCUAAAAAGUGACACAUCAUGUCUUCACCUUGUGCUAAUGAACCAGAAUUCAGGAACAUUCUAGGUAUUUCUUAUCAAGAUGAAAAUUUUAAAAAUGAGGGUGAAAUCAGGAUCACUGAAGUCAUGGACAAUAUGUUUAUUCUCUUGAGA
This 974-nucleotide long non-coding RNA is filed under the name Homo sapiens (human). RNAcentral describes it as "HSALNT0281205". The record is from RNAcentral. Lineage: Eukaryota; Metazoa; Chordata; Mammalia; Primates; Hominidae.